GACGAACGCUGGCGGCGUGCUUAACACAUGCAAGUCGAACGGGAAGGCCCUGCUUUUGUGGGGUGCUCGAGUGGCGAACGGGUGAGUAACACGUGAGUAACCUGCCCUUGACUUUGGGAUAACUUCAGGAAACUGGGGCUAAUACCGGAUAGGAGCUCCUGCUGCAUGGUGGGGGUUGGAAAGUUUCGGCGGUUGGGGAUGGACUCGCGGCUUAUCAGCUUGUUGGUGGGGUAGUGGCUUACCAAGGCUUUGACGGGUAGCCGGCCUGAGAGGGUGACCGGCCACAUUGGGACUGAGAUACGGCCCAGACUCCUACGGGAGGCAGCAGUGGGGAAUAUUGCACAAUGAGCGGAAGCCUGAUGCAGCAACGCCGCGUGCGGGAUGACGGCCUUCGGGUUGUAAACCGCUUUCGCCUGUGACGAAGCGUGAGUGACGGUAAUGGGUAAAGAAGCACCGGCUAACUACGUG
This 468-nucleotide ribosomal RNA is filed under the name uncultured bacterium. Its description in RNAcentral is "partial 16S ribosomal RNA". It matches the Rfam family "Bacterial small subunit ribosomal RNA", at positions 28 to 507 of the family's 1533-position model. The record is from RNAcentral.